GACGAACCACACAAACGUUAUUCGGAAUUACUGGGCGUAAAGUGUGCGCAGGCGGCAGAGCAAGUCGAGUGUGAAAGCCCCGGGCUUAACUUGGGAAUUGCGCUCGAAACUACUUUGCUGGAGUGUGGCAGAGGAAGGUGGAAUUCCACGUGUAGCGGUGAAAUGCGUAGAGAUGUGGAGGAACACCAAUGGCGAAGGCAGCCUUCUGGGCCAACACUGACGCUCAUGCACGAAAGCGUGGGGAGCAAACAGG
Molecule: ribosomal RNA, 253 nt
Filed under: uncultured bacterium
Lineage: Bacteria
Description: partial 16S ribosomal RNA
Rfam family: Bacterial small subunit ribosomal RNA
Source: RNAcentral